UACGUAGGGUGCGAGCGUUAAUCGGAAUUACUGGGCGUAAAGCGUGCGCAGGCGGUUUUGUAAGCCAGAUGUGAAAGCCCCGGGCUUAACCUGGGAAUGGCAUUUGGGACUGCAAGGCUUGAGUGCGGCAGAGGAGACUGGAAUUCCCGGUGUAGCAGUGAAAUGCGUAGAUAUCGGGAGGAACACCGGUGGCGAAGGCGGUUCUCUGGGCCUGACCUGACGCUGAGGAGCGAAAGCGUGGGGAGCGAACAGG
Molecule: ribosomal RNA, 253 nt
Filed under: uncultured bacterium
Lineage: Bacteria
Description: partial 16S ribosomal RNA
Rfam family: Bacterial small subunit ribosomal RNA
Source: RNAcentral